CAAAAACCACUCGAGGAAAAGCAAAUGCAUCUCAAGAUCUUGUUAACUCACCGUUGCAACGGGUCACUAGGUCACUUGCACAUGCCACUCCAUCACCCUCGGCGAAGGCUGUUCCAAAUAAACCUUCUUCUCCAAAAGUGGUUCCAACCAAAAAGAAUAUGAAUAAUCGGCCAGGGGCACACGUAUCACCUCUUCUGGACCGAUUAUGCAAGAUUACUGCAGAGUGGGAAAAAGAGCGUGAUUCCAGGUCGCCAUCAGCUACAGCUCCAUUCACAGUCUGACGGAGUCUUCUUCAGGAAUCACAAGCGCCAGAGGAGGAAGAGAUGCACCCUUGUUCUCUUUUCUAUUUUGUAAAGUACUAUUAUUUAAAUUGCUAACUUAAGAUUGUCACAGUUGGAUGGGGAUGACUCAGAAGAUGAUGAAACGAUUGGUUCAACUGAAGAUCAGGUCCCGAAUAAUUGCAAUCUCGAUGACGAAGGUAGAGCACAUGAAGUAGAGGUUGAGGAACUCCGGGAGACAUUGGGCAAUGACAUUCGCGAAGAGGAUACAACAAUGCAAAAUGAUGGUCCUCUUUCGAACAAGAAAACUGGAAGAAGUGCCGAAAAGAUGCCCCGUGGUUAGGCUGGUGACAACUCCCUUCAGGUAGUUGUGUCCGAUGAUGGCAAGCGGAUAAUAGGUACUGAUGUUCAUGGAUAUAAGAGUGUCUCGGGGUGAUUGCGAGAAACGAACUACGUCUUCCUCUCCACUAUCCGACAUUUCAGCAGAUCCCAAAGACAACUAAAAAAGGGAUCUGGACUGAGAAAAACUGCGGUCUACCUGAUUCUGCUGAGAAAUUAAUGCUCUCUGACCUUAAAGACGUCUGGCGUCACUUAAAUAAAAUGUGAAGGCAUCACACUUCACACCAAUAGAGGAUGAUAAAGAGGACCUGAAGAUAGCUCCGAAAGAGCGUGUUGUUGCAGAACAAUGGCCAUUGCUAGUGCAGUAUUGGAAUGACAAAAAAUAAAGGAUAUUUCUAGCAGAAAUGCCACCAAUGUAGUGAAAAGAAGUUUUUCACAUAGAACGGGCAGAAAAUCAUUUGACAUCUUGGCUGAGGAAAUAAAGGCCAAAGGCAAAGAACCCGAUAGCCUAGAAAUAUGGAUGGCAUCCCGCACUAAGGGACAGCACGCGGAUAAUGAAGAGGCUGAUGAUAUUUUUGAAUAUCUCAAUUCUGAACUCAACAAAAUCCCAACGCAUCAGAGAACACCAGCUGUCCGUGAAUCUUUGUACCGACGAGCGCUUGCAGGGAAAAGAAAAUGGCAAACUGCGGUUGAUGUCGCAGCAACCUCCGUCCAAACCAAGACUCAAUCUGUCAGCCAUGUCGAUAGUGAAGCCAUGCAAUCACAAAUGGAGGAAUUUCGCAAUGGUAUUGCUGAGAUGAAGGCAGUCUUGUCUGAAGUUAAAGCUAUUAAAGACGAAGUGACUAUGUACAAGGCAAAAAUUUCUUUGUGGAUAAGUUCUUCCAUUGGACCAUCUCGAGAAGCCCCGGUAAGUAUGGUAAAUUCUAUAUGUAACGUGGGGGGAAAAUAUCGAUGCUACUAGUUGAUGUGAAUCCAAUGUCUAUUAUGAAAGAAACUACCCGGUUGGCUGGAAGGAGGGGCGAGACAGCGGGAACCAAUUCACUUGAUUUGAUGACGGUUUGUGUAAUUUAUAUGAUUGAUGCCUACAAUAAUGUCGUAUAUUCGUUUUACGGUAAAUUUUAAUUUGUUUCAUGCUCUUAACACAAAGGAAUGUUGAUAAUAGUAAGAAAUGUUCUGGCGUAAAUUGGGACACGUGUUUGUUUUCUCUCCCGAGGACUGGAGAAACGUGUGGUCGGCGAAGGAGUGAUGCUAAGCCUCCCUACCCUAGGUUUGUUUGCACUUGAUAAGUUAUGUUUUGAUUGUGUAGUUGUACAGCGUGAAAUGGACAUAAAAUGGAUCUUGUGUAAGAUUGUUAUAUCUAGCAUCUGAUUAUAUUAUUGUAGGACAUGUCUAUUUGGGUUUAAGGUAGUUGUAUGGUCGAACGUUAUUUGUAGGGCUUGAUUGGUGGUUAAUUUGUUGCUA
This is a long non-coding RNA of Andrographis paniculata, 2078 nucleotides long. RefSeq lists it as uncharacterized. NCBI's taxonomy places the organism in Eukaryota, Viridiplantae, Streptophyta, Magnoliopsida, Lamiales, Acanthaceae. The transcript has 6 exons. The record is from RefSeq and is a predicted model, not a curated record.